This is a long non-coding RNA of Drosophila albomicans, 439 nucleotides long. RefSeq lists it as uncharacterized. The transcript has 2 exons. The record is from RefSeq and is a predicted model, not a curated record. NCBI's taxonomy places the organism in Eukaryota, Metazoa, Arthropoda, Insecta, Diptera, Drosophilidae.
CUUUAGUCACUUUUACGCUAAACUAGAAUAAACCAAGUUAGCGAGAUGAUAUAUACAGUACUGGCAGCAUUUCUCUUGAUUUUCAAUGUUCUUCAAGUGGCAUCAUUGAAUAAUUUUAUAAUGGCACAAGGUUCAACUAGUUGUAAACACCACGAGAAGUUUCAGUGCAAACCUUGCUUUGAACCGUCAUGCGAACAAUUCCUAUAUGACGGUGAAAAAUGUUCCAAGGAGUGCGUCAUGAUAUGCGCUUGUAAACUGGGAUAUGUACGAAAACUGGGAAGUUGUGUUAGAAAAGCAGAAUGCUGUGAUAAACGCAAAUGCGUAUCUACUAGAGAGCAACUUCUUAAAUAGAUUCGAAAAGCCUAAUUAAAUUUCAAUAAUUUUAAAAUAAAUGUUUCGCAGUAACAAAACGUUGAAAAUAAAAAUAAUUAAAAAUUAA